GAUCAUGGUCAGGAUGGACGCUGGCGGCGUGCCUAACACAUGCAAGUCGAACGAAGCAAUUGAAGGAAGUUUUCGGAUGGAAUUCGAUUGACUGAGUGGCGGACGGGUGAGUAACGCGUGGAUAACCUGCCUCACACUGGGGGAUAACAGUUAGAAAUGACUGCUAAUACCGCAUAAGCGCACAGUACCGCAUGGUACAGUGUGAAAAACUCCGGUGGUGUGAGAUGGAUCCGCG
RNAcentral lists this ribosomal RNA (235 nucleotides) under uncultured bacterium. Its description in RNAcentral is "partial 16S ribosomal RNA". It matches the Rfam family "Bacterial small subunit ribosomal RNA", at positions 15 to 235 of the family's 1533-position model. The record is from RNAcentral.